This 352-nucleotide ribosomal RNA is filed under the name Neogobius nigricans. RNAcentral describes it as "partial 12S ribosomal RNA". It matches the Rfam family "Bacterial small subunit ribosomal RNA", at positions 865 to 1383 of the family's 1533-position model. Lineage: Eukaryota; Metazoa; Chordata; Actinopteri; Gobiiformes; Gobiidae. The record is from RNAcentral.
UCCUUCGCCAGGGACAACGAGCCCCAGCUUAAAACCCAAAGGACUUGGCGGUGCUUUAGACCCCCCUAGAGGAGCCUGUUCUAGAACCGAUAUUCCCCGUUCAACCUCACCCCUUCUUGUUUUAUUCCGCCUAUAUACCGCCGUCGUCAGCUUACCCUGUGAAGGUUUAAUAGUAAGCAAAAUUGGCAAAGCCUAAAACGUCAGGUCAAGGUGUAGCGUAUGAAGAGGAAAGAAAUGGGCUACAUUUGCUGACCCAGCAAACACGAACGAUGCCCUGAAAUAAGCAUUUAAAGGAGGAUUUAGCAGUAAGGGGGGAAUAGAGCGUCCCCCCUGAAGUUGGCCCUGAAGCGCG